This 497-nucleotide ribosomal RNA is filed under the name uncultured bacterium. RNAcentral describes it as "partial 16S ribosomal RNA". It matches the Rfam family "Bacterial small subunit ribosomal RNA", at positions 28 to 507 of the family's 1533-position model. The record is from RNAcentral.
GAUGAACGCUGGUGGCGUGCCUAAUACAUGCAAGUCGAGCGAACAGACGAGGAGCUUGCUCCUCUGACGUUAGCGGCGGACGGGUGAGUAACACGUGGAUAACCUACCUAUAAGACUGGGAUAACUUCGGGAAACCGGAGCUAAUACCGGAUAAUAUAUUGAACCGCAUGGUUCAAUAGUGAAAGACGGUUUUGCUGUCACUUAUAGAUGGAUCCGCGCCGCAUUAGCUAGUUGGUAAGGUAACGGCUUACCAAGGCAAUGAUGCGUAGCCGACCUGAGAGGGUGAUCGGCCACACUGGAACUGAGACACGGUCCAGACUCCUACGGGAGGCAGCAGUAGGGAAUCUUCCGCAAUGGGCGAAAGCCUGACGGAGCAACGCCGCGUGAGUGAUGAAGGUCUUCGGAUCGUAAAACUCUGUUAUUAGGGAAGAACAAAUGUGUAAGUAACUAUGCACGUCUUGACGGUACCUAAUCAGAAAGCCACGGCUAACUACGUG